This 435-nucleotide ribosomal RNA is filed under the name Triticum aestivum (bread wheat). Its description in RNAcentral is "partial small subunit ribosomal RNA". Lineage: Eukaryota; Viridiplantae; Streptophyta; Magnoliopsida; Poales; Poaceae. The record is from RNAcentral.
AUGAUGGUUGCAUCAUACGGAUGUGCACUGAAUGUAUGUUCAGGUUACAUCAAUGGAACUAGUAGAUUCAGAAGAAAAGAAUGCUCGUCCCUCAAGCCUCAACUGUGUAAUGGUGCCACAGACAGAUGGCACUCAUCUGUGGAAGAGAAGCCAGGGUUCCGUUUUGUACCUUGCCAACUGCAGAGUAGUGAUUGCGGAGGUGCACAGGGUCAGGAGCUGAAACUUCCAAAGAAAUCGACAUUUCUAAUGGCUCAGACUGCAACUUGCCAUCGGUUCAUGCUAUGGCACUCAACGUGUUAUCGUCUCUUAAUUUGUCUGAAGUUGGCUGAAUUUUGUUGGUGCCUAUCACUCCCUUUAGCCCUUGAGUCCAAUAUCAGAACAGAACCAAGCCUUCAGGACAGCAGCAUGGUUAAAUAUUUGCAUUGCUUCCACUAG